This 254-nucleotide ribosomal RNA is filed under the name uncultured bacterium. RNAcentral's name for it is "partial small subunit ribosomal RNA". It matches the Rfam family "Bacterial small subunit ribosomal RNA", at positions 26 to 285 of the family's 1533-position model. The record is from RNAcentral.
AGGACGAACGCUGGCGGCGUGCUUAACACAUGCAAGUCGAGCGGAAAGGCCCUUCGGGGUACUCGAGCGGCGAACGGGUGAGUAACACGUGAGUAAUCUGCCCCUAGCUCUGGGAUAGCUCCGGGAAACCGGGAUUAAUACCGGAUACGACCACUUUAGACAUCUGUUGUGGUGGAAAGAAUUUUGGCUAGGGAUGAGCUCGCGGCCUAUCAGCUUGUUGGUGGGGUAACGGCCUACCAAGGCGACGACGGGUA